RNAcentral lists this ribosomal RNA (253 nucleotides) under uncultured bacterium. RNAcentral describes it as "partial 16S ribosomal RNA". It matches the Rfam family "Bacterial small subunit ribosomal RNA", at positions 524 to 776 of the family's 1533-position model. The record is from RNAcentral.
UACGUAGGGUGCAAGCGUUGUCCGGAAUUAUUGGGCGUAAAGAGCUCGUAGGCGGUCUGUCGCGUCGAAUGUGAAAACCCGGGGCUCAACUCCGGGCUUGCAUUCGAUACGGGCAGGCUAGAGUUCGGUAGGGGAGUCUGGAAUUCCUGGUGUAGCGGUGAAAUGCGCAGAUAUCAGGAGGAAUACCCAUAGCGAAGGCAGCUCGCUGGGACGUUACUGACGCUGAGGCGCGAAAGCGUGGGGAGCGAACAGG